The sequence is an unclassified non-coding RNA, 174 nucleotides long. The stretch from base 1 to 46 matches the Rfam family "Eukaryotic small subunit ribosomal RNA", at positions 1786 to 1831 of the family's 1831-position model.
AAGUCGUAACAAGGUUUCCGUAGGUGAACCUGCGGAAGGAUCAUUAUUGGUACUAUGUACUCAUGCCGCUGGUCUUUUGCAAAAGAGAGCAGCAGCUUCAAACAAAACACCCGACACAAAUUGUCUGAAAACAACAAGAGAAUACAACUUUUAACAACGGAUCUCUUGGCUCUU